GAUGAACGCUAGCGGCAGGCUUAACACAUGCAAGUCGAGGGGCAGCGAGAUUGUUAGCAAUAACGAUUGUCGGCGACCGGCGCAAGGGUGCGUAACGCGUGAGCAACUUGCCCGUUUCUGGGGAAUAACCGUUGGAAACGACGACUAAUACCCCAUAGUAUCCGAUUGAGGCAUCUCUUUGGGAUUAAAGAAAUUCGGAAACGGAUAGGCUCGCGUGACAUUAGCUAGACGGCGGGGUAACGGCCCACCGUGGCAACGAUGUCUAGGGGUUCUGAGAGGAAGGUCCCCCACACUGGAACUGAGACACGGUCCAGACUCCUACGGGAGGCAGCAGUGAGGAAUAUUGGUCAAUGGCCGGGAGGCUGAACCAGCCAUGCCGCGUGAAGGUCACGGCCCUAUGGGUCUUAAACUUCUUUUGUAAGGGAGCAAUAAGGUUCACGUGUGGACUGAUGAGAGUACCUUACGAAUAAGCAUCGGCUAACUCCGUG
RNAcentral lists this ribosomal RNA (488 nucleotides) under uncultured bacterium. RNAcentral's name for it is "bacterial SSU rRNA". It matches the Rfam family "Bacterial small subunit ribosomal RNA", at positions 28 to 507 of the family's 1533-position model. The record is from RNAcentral.